UUUUUAGAGAGUUUGAUCCUGGCUCAGGAUGAACGCUGGCGGCGUGCCUAACACAUGCAAGUCGAACGGAGUCGUUUUGGAAAUCUCUUCGGAGAUGGAAUUCUCGACUUAGUGGCGGACGGGUGAGUAACGCGUGAGCAAUCUGCCUUUAAGAGGGGGAUAACAGUCGGAAACGGCUGCUAAUACCGCAUAAAGCAUUAAAUUCGCAUGUUUUUGAUGCCAAAGGAGCAAUCCGCUUUUAGAUGAGCUCGCGUCUGAUUAGCU
This 264-nucleotide ribosomal RNA is filed under the name Butyricicoccus sp. AF22-28AC. RNAcentral's name for it is "partial 16S ribosomal RNA". It matches the Rfam family "Bacterial small subunit ribosomal RNA", at positions 1 to 246 of the family's 1533-position model. The record is from RNAcentral. Lineage: Bacteria; Bacillati; Bacillota; Clostridia; Eubacteriales; Butyricicoccaceae.